RNAcentral lists this unclassified non-coding RNA (2474 nucleotides) under Drosophila virilis. RNAcentral's name for it is "GJ10139". The record is from RNAcentral. Lineage: Eukaryota; Metazoa; Arthropoda; Insecta; Diptera; Drosophilidae.
UUGUUGCACAUACGGCAGCCGUGUUUACGAGCAUCAGUCGUAAAUCUAAUCAAUGUGGCAACACCUGAAAAGCCAAACUUGCAGAAAUCAAAGUGUGCUAAUUUUAAGUCUUGUGAUAAGUAUUGAAACAAUUUAAGGUGAUUAUUUGGGAUCAUUUGCACCCAAUGGGCUCCACAUUAAAAUUGAUUACCAGCGACACCCUUAAUUGGACUGCAUUUUGCGCAUGAGCUGGGCGCGCAAAUGACACGAUGAGCAACAAUGAGGACAACAAUUACCCCAACUCAGCUGCAGACACAGCUCAAAGACUGAGUUCCAUUGUCGUGGAUCCCACCUCGAAUACCAGCCCAGAAAAGCAGCAGGAAAAGCCACAACAACACAAACCCAAUUAUUACUAUCAUCGUUACGUAGGCCGUCCACAUUGGCGAUUUGCCGUGCCCAUUAGCCCGUAUGGCUGGUAUCGCGUCCUGGUGUUCAGUCAGAACAGCGGCUACACCGUGAAGCAGGUGCUGGAGAAGCUGCGUCUGGCCGUAGCGCCACGGAAGUUCAGGUAUUACUAUCUGCAUGAGGGCGGUGAGCAGGAUGUGGAGCAGGAUAAACGGGCCACCUUCACCUUCUAUGUGGAUAGCUACAAACUGGCCGCCGAGCUGCAGCUGCGCGGACAUCGUCCGCCGGUCGUGGGUCUACGCGUGAAUGACAGACCGCCCAUGAUCGAGGUGGACGAACCGUACAGAUGGAAGUUGCGCAAGGUGAUAAUGUCGCGGUACGAUGAGCGGAAGCGCUGUCUCAAUCUGUGCCGCUUCUAUGCGGACGAUUACUGGAAGGGCGAGUUCUGUGCGCUGCAGCAGUUCGAGUGCCUGGAAGCAAUCAUUGACAUUAUGGAGCAGGAGCUGCCGCAGCUGCGUCGCCUGCUGCUGGACAACAACCACCUGUGCCAUCUGGGCGGCUUUCGUGGCGUUGAACAGCGAUUGCCGCGGCUGCACUGCAUCUCGCUGCAGCACAACGAGCUGAAGACGCUUCGACCGCUGCGCGUCUUUCAGCGCCUGCGUCUCACCGAGCUCAAUGUCAAGCGGAAUCCGUUGCCGCGCAACUACGAGCAGCAACUGGUGACCAUGUUUCCGGAUCUGCGCACCCUCAAUGGCCGUUCCGUGGCCAGACGCAGCACGCCCGUAGUCACGGUCAGUGACAGUGACAGUGACAGCAACAGCAGCAGCAGCAACAGCGACAGCGACAGCGAUGUGGAGCUUGUCUCUGUCACCGAGUGCAAGCCGAUUAUCAUGCCCGAGCCGAGGGUCACGUACCUGGCGCCACAUGCGCUGCCCAUGCAGCCGGGCAUACGGAAGUUCGUGCGUCGCUAUCUGAAAGCGUUUGACGGCGAUAAAAGAGCCACGGAUCUGCAGCGCUUUUAUCAGGAGCACGUUCUGGUCUCCCUAACACUUGCCAAGGAUCGCGCCAUGCUGGGCUCAUGGACUGCGCCCUAUGCUGCCUUUAGUCGCCAGCUGCUGGCGUGCCGGGUCGCGGCGCUGGAAAUGUUCGCCUCGUGGCCCAAAACGUUGCAUUUGCCGUCAACGAUGACCCUGGAUCUGACGCUGGUCGAGCCCCGGAUGCUGUGCGUCUCCAUAACUGGCAGCUUUGAAGAGAACGGCUCGUCCAACGUGCUGCGGCAUUAUAUGCGAACCUUUCUGCUGACCAGGACCGAUGAAACUGCCGACUUUCGCAUAGCCAAUGAGCUCAUCUAUCUCAGCAGAGCUGGCCGUGGCCAGCGCCAGCCGGCGAUGCUCAAUCCUGUCCAACGAAACUUGAUGUGCAUGCUCUCGGCGGAGACCCGGCUGAAGUCGCGCUGGAGUAGCAAAUUCCUCAAAGACACCAAUUGGGACUAUCAGCAGGCCCUGCUGGCAUUCCAAACACUCCUCCGACGACGCCAGAUACCCGAGAAGGCAUUCGAGGGUGAUACCAAGCCAGAGCCGAGUCCAUGACAUCAGCUGCGCACUAUAUUCCCAAUGUGCCCGCAGGGAAAUUGAAAAUUCCACAGAUUAUGCUGAUUACAUUUUAUUUGAAUUUGAAUUUGAUGUGCGAGGGUAUUAUGUGUCCAACGACUGUGUGAUGCAGGCCGCGCCUUCUUCAAUUAUGAUUUAUGAUUUGUUUGCUCAGUUUUGACAAUAUCAUCUGGAAUAAUACCGUAGCCAUACUUGUACAAUAUCUGUUCGUCGUUUCCAUUUCCGUUUCCGUUCAGUCGCAGUGUCAAGCAGGCAGGGAGGGCACAUGCCACAGAAAUUGCAGCUCGUAAAUAAAAAGAAAAUCGAUCCUCCUGGGAUUAAUGUGUAUCUUCAGAGUCGCAUGCAUGAAACUUCAAUUUCCGCUUAGAGAAUUAUGAAACUUUACGAGAAAAAACCAGUGGAAAGUCAGAAAUGAAUACGGGAUAAGAAAACGUAAUCAUCUAGGUAAUAAGGGCAAAAAGAAAGACUUUACCGUGCAGC